UCUAUAAUUAAAUUAAAAUUUAGAAUAAUUUAAUAGAGGCCCAGAGUUCGAAUUUUACUAAGCAAAAGUUUGGUUUUAUUUGAUUUUUAACUAUGGGAAAAAUUACCAAAGUUGACCCGGGCUUUUGUGCAAUAAUAAAAAAUGUUGGGCCCUUUCUUGUAAUUUUCCCCAAAGUUUUUGACCAGCAUUUUAAGGAGCAAACUGAUGCAGAAACGCAGAGAAAAUGAGAAAGGAAGCAAACGCACAAACGGGAGAGAGAGAGAGAGAGGAAGAAGAGAAGAGAAAGGGAGGGAGUUAGGCUUGGAUCUAGGAGUCUUUGCGACCGUUGCGAGCUCGGCUACACGAUAGAAAAUUGUUGGUGGAACUUAUUGAGAAGUAAGGAACAAGCCGAGCCCUAUUUUGUACAAGGGGAACCCUUUUAGUACCAAAGGGUUGAGGUCCAGGCGAAGGAUCCAGUGGUGGACGGGGAAAAGAGCAAAGCUAGGGGUUUGCUUGUGAUUUGUAAAGAACUGCAACCCCUUUCUUUUGAGCAAAUAUAUUGUAAUGUAUUUAAGAUUAGGGUGCCAGUAGGAUAUGAUUAUGUGUGUGUGUGAAUAUGUGUGGAUUGUGUGCUUGUGUAUGAAUUUUUGUCUGUUUGCAGACUUGUGGCUAGGAAACUUGGUUAUGGUGUGUGGUUUUGAUGGAUUUACUUAGUAGACCAAGUUUCUAUUACA
Long non-coding RNA from Prosopis cineraria, 713 nucleotides. RefSeq lists it as uncharacterized. The transcript is spliced from 3 exons. NCBI's taxonomy places the organism in Eukaryota, Viridiplantae, Streptophyta, Magnoliopsida, Fabales, Fabaceae. The record is from RefSeq and is a predicted model, not a curated record.